Molecule: non-coding RNA, 2199 nt
Organism: Pelodiscus sinensis (Chinese soft-shelled turtle)
Lineage: Eukaryota; Metazoa; Chordata; Testudines; Trionychidae
Source: RefSeq, a predicted model, not a curated record
ACAGUGAUAUAAGGCAAGUUUGUUCCCUUGAAUAGGUUACUAAGCCUUUAUGAUAUGCACUUCCAAAGAGAAGGCAUUCCCAGCUAUCUGUGGGAGCUUUGUGGAUUUGUCCUUGGUGUUGUGAUACAUAUCUGCCAUGAUGCGGAGGUUUUCUCUGCCAAAAUAUCCUGGAGCCUAACGACAGGACUUAAUUUAUGAAAAUCAAUCUGAUCAAUGGAGAAUUAUGCUGCAAAGGUGAAGCAGUUUCUUGGCUGUUUGAAUCUUGUGAGAUGUUCAGCUCCCAAAAGCAGAUACAGAUGUCAUCUUCAUCUGGAGUCACCACAGAAAAUACAGCACUAAAAAAGUGCAGAGAACUUCCAAGCAAGUCUUGUUACAUGGAUUAAAUUGUGAUCUGACAUUAACCUAGUGUAACUCUGCCAGAAUCAAUAAGCUACAUUAGAUUUAUGGAGGUGUAAAUGAGAAUUUGAUACUUGUUUGGUCUCUGAACCAAAUAACAAAAUCCCAAAAGGAAAGCAAGGAUAUUGACUUACAAGACAGUCUUUCCAUUGAUUUCCGUGGGUUUUGGAGUAGGAUCAUAGUAUCCAUGUAUGCUGCCAAUACAUUUCAAACAACUACCCUUUGCUAUUAAUUCCUCCUCAACUCUCACUGCAACGAUAUCUAAAGGAAAUGAGCAACUGCAAACGAUUAUAUGAAGGGCCAGUGACUUCCCUGUAAAUUCAAGCAAGAAGAGAGCAGCAUUUAAUGGCAUCAAACAAGCUCUCGGGGGAUCAGAUAUUAAAUACCGCCUUCAAUAUUCUGUGAUCUUCAUAAUGAAAGUGACAGACUUUGAAAUACUUCAAUACCUCCUUUAAUACAGGAAUCGAGACCAGAUCUCACUAAAGAUUCCUAAUUUAGAUUGUGCUUGAAGGGAGUGGGGGCAAGAAAAAGCAUAUACCAUCUGAGAUCUGAAUGUGCUUGUACUGGAAGUCUGGGAAUCUGAGGCUUUACGGAAGCACUGAAAGCUACCUUAAGGAGAGAAUGAAUGAAAUUUGCAUGUGAAAUGAAAUACCUAAUUUUCUGGCAGAGUUUCAAGGAGAAAAACCAUAGAGAAGACUCUCAGAAUAAUGAGCCAAUGCAUUCCUCAAAAUACAAAUAUUAUGAAUGUGUGUCCACCUGGAUUGAAUUCAUGCUUUUAAAAAAGUUAAACACAAGUGAGGAGCCAUGAAGCUCCACACACUGCCUCCACACUCCAGUUGGCUGGUUCCCUGUGCUUUCAUGUGAGAGCAGUGUGCAGAGUCAUUUGCGUACCUCUGUCUUGGAUUCAGACUUUCUACUGGCUGCUUCUGGGGUACAGCAUGGUCUGCGGUGACAGGACAGGUGGGAAGCCAACCUUAGAAUCCCUGCUGCUCUGCUGACUGAGUCACUGAAGGUAUGUGUGAGAGAGUGCAUUCAGUGAUCUGGCAGUCAAUGAACAAAGCUUGGCCACACCACAACCACCUGACUGGCUAAGGCAAUGAGGAGACUUGCUCUUAACCAAGCACCAACAGAGCAUCAACACCUUGUCAACGCAUAUACCUGUGCAAUCUAUACCUUCCUGGGCUUGCUUCACUCCAAGCUCUGCUCCUGCUUGUUCCAGCCUGGAUACUGCCCUGUACUCAGUCUUAUUUUAGUCCUGUCCUAGCCUUGCUCUUGCCUUGGAACUAGCCCUGCCUCUGCCUUCCCUGACUUCAGAUAAUCCAGUUCUGCCCCUUGGUUCUGAUUCCUGGCUCUGACUCUGUCAUGAUCGAUGAGCUCUGGCAUUUGGACUCUGAUCACUCGGCCUGACUACCUAUGACUCCUGACAGGGGGAUGCUAUCUAGCACUAUGUUUUCUGUGUUUGCAUUACUAACAAAACAUAAUUCUAAACAUGUUAUUGGACUUCUGAACAAUUGCAUUAAUACGUGUUUAAAUUUAAUGAUACCUGUCAGCUUGUUGCAAAAUCUGAUUCAAUAAAUGAUUUUAUUUGAGACUAUUAUCAAAGCACUGUACAGAAUACAGAAAGAUAAGAUUCAUUACCAACCUGGAGGAAUGGGAAAAGCUAUCUUCCUUGUCCAUGUCCUCUGUAACUGGUGUGUUGCCAACAGUUUGCACUCUCCGCCUAAUUCCCCAAACCUCUCUAUUCUUACAGAGAAAAAUUCUUUCCCAUGUUUAAUUUCAUUGUGUCCUAUUUUGACGUUUGAU